GCGGCGGACGGGUGAGUAACACGUGGGUAACCUGCCCAUAAGACUGGGAUAACUCCGGGAAACCGGGGCUAAUACCGGAUAACAUUUUGAACCGCAUGGUUCGAAAUUGAAAGGCGGCUUCGGCUGUCACUUAUGGAUGGACCCGCGUCGCAUUAGCUAGUUGGUGAGGUAACGGCUCACCAAGGCAACGAUGCGUAGCCGACCUGAGAGGGUGAUCGGCCACACUGGGACUGAGACACGGCCCAGACUCCUACGGGAGGCAGCAGUAGGGAAUCUUCCGCAAUGGACGAAAGUCUGACGGAGCAACGCCGCGUGAGUGAUGAAGGCUUUCGGGUCGUAAAACUCUGUUGUUA
This 353-nucleotide ribosomal RNA is filed under the name Bacillus cereus. RNAcentral describes it as "bacterial SSU rRNA". It matches the Rfam family "Bacterial small subunit ribosomal RNA", at positions 95 to 441 of the family's 1533-position model. The record is from RNAcentral. Lineage: Bacteria; Bacillati; Bacillota; Bacilli; Caryophanales; Bacillaceae.